GAGUUUGAUCCUGGCUCAGAUUGAACGCUGGCGGCAUGCCUAACACAUGCAAGUCGAACGGUAACGCGGGGGCAACCCUGGCGACGAGUGGCGGACGGGUGAGUAAUACGUAGGAAUCUGCCCAUUUGUGGGGGAUAACCCGGCGAAAGCCGGGCUAAUACCGCAUACGCUCUACGGAGGAAAGCGGGGGAUCGUAAGACCUCGCGCUAAUGGAUGAGCCUACGUCGGAUUAGCUAGUUGGUAGGGUAACGGCCUACCAAGGCGACGAUCCGUAGCUGGUCUGAGAGGACGAUCAGCCACACUGGGACUGAGACACGGCCCAGACUCCUACGGGAGGCAGCAGUGGGGAAUAUUGGACAAUGGGGGCAACCCUGAUCCAGCAAUGCCGCGUGUGUGAAGAAGGCCUGCGGGUUGUAAAGCACUUUCAGAGGGGAAGAAAAAUCGGAUCUAACACAUCCGAUCUUGACGUUACCCCUUAGAAGAAGCACCGGCUAACUCCGUGCCAGCCGCCGCCGU
This 516-nucleotide ribosomal RNA is filed under the name uncultured Gammaproteobacteria bacterium. Its description in RNAcentral is "bacterial SSU rRNA". It matches the Rfam family "Bacterial small subunit ribosomal RNA", at positions 9 to 521 of the family's 1533-position model. Lineage: Bacteria; Pseudomonadati; Pseudomonadota; Gammaproteobacteria. The record is from RNAcentral.